UUAUCGGAGAGUUUGAUCCUGGCUCAGGACGAACGCUGGCGGCGUGCCUAAUACAUGCAAGUCGAGCGGACAGAUGGGAGCUUGCUCCCUGAUGUUAGCGGCGGACGGGUGAGUAACACGUGGGUAACCUGCCUGUAAGACUGGGAUAACUCCGGGAAACCGGGGCUAAUACCGGAUGGUUGUUUGAACCGCAUGGUUCAAACAUAAAAGGUGGCUUCGGCUACCACUUACAGAUGGACCCGCGGCGCAUUAGCUAGUUGGUGAGGUAACGGCUCACCAAGGCGACGAUGCGUAGCCGACCUGAGAGGGUGAUCGGCCACACUGGGACUGAGACACGGCCCAGACUCCUACGGGAGGCAGCAGUAGGGAAUCUUCCGCAAUGGACGAAAGUCUGACGGAGCAACGCCGCGUGAGUGAUGAAGGUUUUCGGAUCGUAAAGCUCUGUUGUUAGGGAAGAACAAGUACCGUUCGAAUAGGGCGGUACCUUGACGGUACCUAACCAGAAAGCCACGGCUAACUACGUGCCAGCAGCCGCGGUAAUACGUAGGUGGCAAGCGUUGUCCGGAAUUAUUGGGCGUAAAGGGCUCGCAGGCGGUUUCUUAAGUCUGAUGUGAAAGCCCCCGGCUCAACCGGGGAGGGUCAUUGGAAACUGGGGAACUUGAGUGCAGAAGAGGAGAGUGGAAUUCCACGUGUAGCGGUGAAAUGCGUAGAGAUGUGGAGGAACACCAGUGGCGAAGGCGACUCUCUGGUCUGUAACUGACGCUGAGGAGCGAAAGCGUGGGGAGCGAACAGGAUUAGAUACCCUGGUAGUCCACGCCGUAAACGAUGAGUGCUAAGUGUUAGGGGGUUUCCGCCCCUUAGUGCUGCAGCUAACGCAUUAAGCACUCCGCCUGGGGAGUACGGUCGCAAGACUGAAACUCAAAGGAAUUGACGGGGGCCCGCACAAGCGGUGGAGCAUGUGGUUUAAUUCGAAGUAACGCGAAGAACCUUACCAGGUCUUGACAUCCUCUGACAAUCCUAGAGAUAGGACGUCCCCUUCGGGGGCAGAGUGACAGGUGGUGCAUGGUUGUCGUCAGCUCGUGUCGUGAGAUGUUGGGUUAAGUCCCGCAACGAGCGCAACCCUUGAUCUUAGUUGCCAGCAUUCAGUUGGGCACUCUAAGGUGACUGCCGGUGACAAACCGGAGGAAGGUGGGGAUGACGUCAAAUCAUCAUGCCCCUUAUGACCUGGGCUACACACGUGCUACAAUGGACAGAACAAAGGGCAGCGAAACCGCGAGGUUAAGCCAAUCCCACAAAUCUGUUCUCAGUUCGGAUCGCAGUCUGCAACUCGACUGCGUGAAGCUGGAAUCGCUAGUAAUCGCGGAUCAGCAUGCCGCGGUGAAUACGUUCCCGGGCCUUGUACACACCGCCCGUCACACCACGAGAGUUUGUAACACCCGAAGUCGGUGAGGUAACCUUUUAGGAGCCAGCCGCCGAAGGUGGGACAGAUGAUUGGGGUGAAGUCGUAACAAGGUAGCCGUAUCGGAAGGUGCGGCUGGAUCACCUCCUUU
This 1550-nucleotide ribosomal RNA is filed under the name Bacillus subtilis. Its description in RNAcentral is "16S ribosomal RNA". It matches the Rfam family "Bacterial small subunit ribosomal RNA". Lineage: Bacteria; Bacillati; Bacillota; Bacilli; Caryophanales; Bacillaceae. The record is from RNAcentral. RNAcentral also lists the same sequence under 1 other name.